AGGGUUGUGGUUCAGUGGUAGAACAUCUGUUUUGCAUGCAGAAGGUCCCAGGUUCAAUCCCCAGCAUCUCCA
Podarcis lilfordi (Lilford's wall lizard) is the source of this 72-nucleotide non-coding RNA. The record is from the annotation of a GenBank genome assembly. NCBI's taxonomy places the organism in Eukaryota, Metazoa, Chordata, Lepidosauria, Squamata, Lacertidae.